AUAUUUGAUGAAGUAUACAGAUUGAAAACUUUGCUAAAUAAACUUGGUGUUUUCCAUAAAAAGAAACGUAUAUAUUGAUCUGUGAAGAAACUACGGAGAACUAACUGUAUUUUGAGUGGUUCCGACCUGUGCAGACGGAGAUAUGAAAUUGGUCUAUGAUUUCCUUUGAUUGAGGUUUACAUACAUUUUUUAUAUACAGAUGAAAAUAGCUUUCGACAUGCGGGGAGGACUUUUGUAAGAUAUACUGAUAUUAUAUUGUGUAGACAAGUCAUCAAAUUUA
Paramuricea clavata is the source of this 280-nucleotide non-coding RNA. Lineage: Eukaryota; Metazoa; Cnidaria; Anthozoa; Malacalcyonacea; Plexauridae. The record is from the annotation of a GenBank genome assembly.